AGUGAACGCUGGCGGUAGGCCUAACACAUGCAAGUCGAACGGCAGCACAGAGGAGCUUGCUCCUUGGGUGGCGAGUGGCGGACGGGUGAGGAAUACAUCGGAAUCUACUUUUUCGUGGGGGAUAACGUAGGGAAACUUACGCUAAUACCGCAUACGACCUACGGGUGAAAGCAGGGGACCUUCGGGCCUUGCGCGAUUGAAUGAGCCGAUGUCGGAUUAGCUAGUUGGCGGGGUAAAGGCCCACCAAGGCGACGAUCCAUAGCUGGUCUGAGAGGAUGAUCAGCCACACUGGAACUGAGACACGGUCCAGACUCCUACGGGAGGCAGCAGUGGGGAAUAUUGGACAAUGGGCGCAAGCCUGAUCCAGCCAUACCGCGUGGGUGAAGAAGGCCUUCGGGUUGUAAAGCCCUUUUGUUGGGAAAGAAAUCCAGCUGGCUAAUACCCGGUUGGGAUGACGGUACCCAAAGAAUAAGCACCGGCUAACUUCGUGCCAGCCGCCGCAGUAA
This 506-nucleotide ribosomal RNA is filed under the name uncultured bacterium. Its description in RNAcentral is "partial 16S ribosomal RNA". It matches the Rfam family "Bacterial small subunit ribosomal RNA", at positions 29 to 523 of the family's 1533-position model. The record is from RNAcentral.